This is a long non-coding RNA of Callorhinus ursinus (northern fur seal), 628 nucleotides long. RefSeq lists it as uncharacterized. The record is from RefSeq and is a predicted model, not a curated record. Lineage: Eukaryota; Metazoa; Chordata; Mammalia; Carnivora; Otariidae.
CGGCCGGGGCCGCGGCGCGGGGAAGCCACUUUGCACGGUCAGCGCCGGCCACAAGUUUGUUCCUCGGCUCCUGGGGGCCUCCGAGCUGAGGGAGAAUAACGCGGAGGGGGCUGAGAGGAGGGGGAGAGGGGAGGCGCCGAGGGGCAAAAGAGUGGGGAAAAGUGCGAAAAGAAGCAACAGCCGCUCCACCCGGGGCCAGAAAAGUGGCUGGCCGCGUCCCGACCGCCCGCCCUGCGCCGGGGAUGCGGCGGCUAACGGUCCAAGGAGGCGGCAGGGGCGGCAGGAGCCGCUAGGCGGAGAGAGACCAGAAAUCCUCAUCAAGAAGCCUCUGACAUCUUGAGACAUUGGAAAAAGACCUGUGGUUCCAGAGAAACUCAAGACCAAAGCUACUGACUAGUGCCCUGCCACCUCCCCCAACCAAGGAGGAGGCGCAGACUUAAGGUGGACAGCCUGGAAUAUUCCACUGCACACUGAUGUUGGGAGAGAGAUCAGGUUAUUCCAACUUGCCCAUUAAUGUAUAUGAAUUACUUAGUUAAUUCCACUGAGUUGCUUCUAUUUGAAAAGAAUUGUAUCAGGAACUGGAAGUGUAAAAAUGCUGUUCAAUAAAGAAGGCAUAAUUAAAUGAGGA